RNAcentral lists this ribosomal RNA (220 nucleotides) under uncultured Glomus. RNAcentral describes it as "partial small subunit ribosomal RNA". It matches the Rfam family "Eukaryotic small subunit ribosomal RNA", at positions 591 to 817 of the family's 1831-position model. Lineage: Eukaryota; Fungi; Glomeromycota; Glomeromycetes; Glomerales; Glomeraceae. The record is from RNAcentral.
CCAAUAGCGUAUAUUAAAGUUGUUGCAGUUAAAAAGCUCGUAGUUGAAUUUCGGGAUCAAUAUGUCGGUCGUGCCUUGGUACGUACUGGUAUCAUUGGUUUCUCCUUUCUGACGAACCAUGAUGUCAUUAAUUUGGUGUUAUGGGAAGUUAGGACUGUUACUUUGAAAAAAUUAGAGUGUUUAAAGCAGGCUUUAGCUUGAAUACAUUAGCAUGGAAUAA